UACGUAGGUGACCAGCGUUGUCCGGAUUUACUGGGCGUAAAGAGCGCGCAGGCGGUCGUUCAAGUCGAGUGUGAAAGCCCCCGGCUCAACUGGGGAGGGUCAUUCGAUACUGAUCGACUGGAAGGCAGGAGAGGGAAGCGGAAUUCCCGGUGUAGUGGUGAAAUGCGUAGAUAUCGGGAGGAACACCAGUGGCGAAGGCGACUACCUGGCCUGUUCUUGACGCUGAGGCGCGAAAGCUAGGGGAGCAAACGGG
This 253-nucleotide ribosomal RNA is filed under the name uncultured bacterium. RNAcentral describes it as "partial 16S ribosomal RNA". It matches the Rfam family "Bacterial small subunit ribosomal RNA", at positions 524 to 776 of the family's 1533-position model. The record is from RNAcentral.